Molecule: ribosomal RNA, 403 nt
Filed under: uncultured bacterium
Lineage: Bacteria
Description: bacterial SSU rRNA
Rfam family: Bacterial small subunit ribosomal RNA
Source: RNAcentral
AGAGUUUGAUCCUGGCUCAGAUUGAACGCUGGCGGAAUGCUUUACACAUGCAAGUCGAACGGCAGCACGGGUGCUUGCACCUGGUGGCGAGUGGCGAACGGGUGAGUAAGCAUCGGAACGUACCGAGUAAUGGGGGAUAACGCAUCGAAAGGUGUGCUAAUACCGCAUACGCCCUGAGGGGGAAAGUGGGGGAUCGCAAGACCUCACGUUAUUCGAGCGGCCGAUGCCUGAUUAGCUAGUUGGUGAGGUAAAGGCUCACCAAGGCGACGAUCAGUAGCUGGUCUGAGAGGAUGAUCAGCCACACUGGAACUGAGACACGGUCCAGACUCCUACGGGAGGCAGCAGUGGGGAAUUUUGGACAAUGGGCGCAAGCCUGAUCCAGCCAUUCCGCGUGAGUGAAGAA